This 253-nucleotide ribosomal RNA is filed under the name uncultured bacterium. RNAcentral's name for it is "partial 16S ribosomal RNA". It matches the Rfam family "Bacterial small subunit ribosomal RNA", at positions 524 to 776 of the family's 1533-position model. The record is from RNAcentral.
UACGGAGGGUGCAAGCGUUAUCCGGAUUCACUGGGUUUAAAGGGUGCGUAGGCGGGUAAUUAAGUCAGUGGUGAAAUCUUCAAGCUUAACUUGGAAACUGCCAUUGAUACUAUUUAUCUUGAAUGUUCUGGAGGUCAGCGGAAUAUGUCAUGUAGCGGUGAAAUGCUUAGAUAUGACAUAGAACACCUAUUGCGAAGGCAGCUGACUACGGAAAUAUUGACGCUGAGGCACGAAAGCGUGGGGAUCAAACAGG